UUUUUUUCCUUCCUUUUUUUUUUGUUUUUUGUACCCCCUCGCAUGGGAGGGAAGCCCCCCCCCCCCCCCCCCCCCCCCCUCCCCCCCCCCCGGGGCGGGGGGCGCGGCGCGGGGGGGGAAGGGGGAAAAGAAACCACCCCCCCCCCCCCCCCCCCCUUCCCCCCAUCCCUUUAUUCCCCCCCCUUCCCCCGGGUUCUUCUUUCCAGGCGGGCGGGGAGGGUACCCCCCGGGAAAGGAAGUAUAAAACCCCCCCGCCCCCCCCCCCCGUUUCUCCCCUCUUUUCCCCCCCUUGUUUUUUUUGGGAAAUGGGGGGGGGGAGGCUAUGUUUUCCCCUUGUGGGCCGGUUGUAUAUCGGCGCCCGGUAACUUGUAUUCCCCUCCUCUAUAGGGGGGAUUUGAUUUUAGCGGCCGCGAUUCCCCCCUUUCUCGCUCAACUCGGGUGUAUCAAUAACCGGAGGAAAAGAAACUAACAGGAUUUCCCGUGGUGCCUGCGAGUGACGCGGGGAAAGCUCAAAUUUACAAUCUGGCGCCUCUUUCGGCCGUCCGAGUUGUAAUUUAGAGAAGCGUUUAUCCGCGCCGGUCCAUGUACAAGUCUUCUGGAAUGGAGCGUCAUAGAGGGUGAGAAUCCCGUAUUUGGCAUGGAUCCCUGGUGCUUCUGUGAUGUGCUCUCGAAGAGUCGAGUUGUUUGGGAAUGCAGCUCAAAAUGGGUGGUGAACUCCAUCUAAAGCUAAAUAUUGGCGAGAGACCGAUAGCGAACAAGUACCGUGAGGGAAAGAUGAAAAGCACUUUGGAAAGAGAGUGAAACAGUACGUGAAAUUGUUGAAAGGGAAACGCUUGAAGUCAGUCGCGUCGGCCGAGACUCAGCCUUGCUUCCGCUCGGUGCACUUCUCGGUUGACGGGUCAGCAUCAAUUUCGACCGCCGGAUAAAGGUUGAGGGAACGUGACAUCUUUCGAGGUGUGUUAUAGCCCUCGAUUCGCAUACGGCGAUUGGGAUUGAGGAACUCAGCGCGCCUUUAUGGUCGGGGUAGCAACCCACGUAACGCGCUUAGGAUGCUGGCAUAAUGGCUUUAAGCUGACCCGUCUUGAAACGCGG
Molecule: ribosomal RNA, 1092 nt
Filed under: uncultured fungus
Lineage: Eukaryota; Fungi
Description: eukaryotic LSU rRNA
Rfam family: Eukaryotic large subunit ribosomal RNA (bases 405-1092)
Source: RNAcentral